ACACAGGAUUGCUUAGUUAGCGGCGAGUGAAGCGGCAAAAGCUCAAAUUUGACAAUCUUGGCGCCUUCGUGUGAUCCGAGUUGUAAUUUGAAGAUUGUAACCUUGGGUGUUGGCUCUUGUCUAUGUUUCUUGGGAACUAGGACGUCACAGAGGGUGCAGAAUCCCGCUGCGAUGACGAUGCCCAAUUCUAUGUAAGGUGCUUUCGAACGAGUCGAGUUGUUUGGGAAUGCAGCUCUAAGUGGGUGGUAAAUUCCAUCUAAAGCUAAAUAUUGGCGAGAGACCGAUAGCGAACAAGUACAGUGAUGGAAAGAUGAAAAGAACUUUGAAAAGAGAGUGAAAAAGUACGUGAAAUUGUUGAAAGGGAAGGGUUUGAGAUCAGACUCGAUAUUUUGUGAGCCUUGCCUUCGUGGCGGGGUGACCCGCAGCUUAUCGGGCCAGCAUCGGUUUGGGCGGUAGGAUAAUGGCGUAGGAAUGUGACUUUACUUCGGUGAAAGUGUUAUAGCCUGCGUUGAUGCUGCCUGCCUAGACCGAGGACUGCGAUUUUAUCAAGGAUGCUGGCAUAAUGAUCCCAAAGCGCCCGUCUUGAAC
RNAcentral lists this ribosomal RNA (588 nucleotides) under Meyerozyma sp. SP1. RNAcentral describes it as "eukaryotic LSU rRNA". It matches the Rfam family "Eukaryotic large subunit ribosomal RNA", at positions 67 to 659 of the family's 3401-position model. Lineage: Eukaryota; Fungi; Ascomycota; Pichiomycetes; Serinales; Debaryomycetaceae. The record is from RNAcentral.